RNAcentral lists this ribosomal RNA (1169 nucleotides) under Caloplaca thracopontica. Its description in RNAcentral is "bacterial SSU rRNA". It matches the Rfam family "Eukaryotic small subunit ribosomal RNA", at positions 132 to 1065 of the family's 1831-position model. The record is from RNAcentral. Lineage: Eukaryota; Fungi; Ascomycota; Lecanoromycetes; Teloschistales; Teloschistaceae.
UUGCUACUUGGAUACCUGUGGUAAUUCUAGAGCUAAUACAUGCUAAAAACCUCGACUUCGGAAGGGGUGUAUUUAUUAGAUAAAAAACCAAUGCCCUUCGGGGCUCCUGGGUGAUUCAUAAUAACUUAACGAAUCGCAUGGCCUUGCGCCGGCGAUGGUUCAUUCAAAUUUCUGCCCUAUCAACUUUCGAUGGUAGGAUAGUGGCCUACCAUGGUUUCUACGGGUAACGGGAUAUUAGGGUAUGAUUCCGGAGAGGGAGCCUGAGAAACGGCUACCACAUCCAAGGAAGGCAGCAGGCGCGCAAAUUACCCAAUCCCGACACGGGGAGGUAGCGACAAGGAAUACUGAUGCAGAGCUCCUUUGGGUUUUGCAAUUGGAAUGAGUACAAUUUAAACCCCUUAACGAGGAACAAUUGGAGGGCAAGUCUGGUGCCAGCAGCCGCGGUAAUUCCAGCUCCAAUAGCGUAUAUUAAAGUUGUUGCAGUUAAAAAGCUCGUAGUUAAAACUUGGGCCUGGCUGGCCGGUCCGCCUCACCGCGUGCACUGGUCCGGCCGGGCCUUUCCUUCUGGGGAGCCGCAUGCCCUUCAUUGGGUGUGCCGGGGAACCAGGACUUUUACUUUGAAAAAAUUAGAGUGUUCAAAGCAGGCCUAUGCUCGAAUACAUUAGCAUGGAAUAAUAGAAUAGGACGUGUGGUUCUAUUUUGUUGGUUUCUAGGACCGCCGUAAUGAUUAAUAGGGAUAGUUGGGGUUAUCAGUAUUCAAUUGUCAGAGGUGAAAUUCUUGGAUUUAUUGAAGACUAACUACUGCGAAAGCAUUUAACAAAGAUGUUUUCAUUAAUCAGUGAACGAAAGUUAGGGGAUCGAAGACGAUCAGGGGGUGCACGCGCCCGGGGGAACCCCCCCCCGGGGCGGUAUUUGGUCGUCCACAGCAAAACUAGUCUACGGGUCCCCGACGGGACCCUAGGCAACACUGUCAAACUGUAGGGUUCCCUCCCGGGGGUAACCUACAGCCAAGCUCGCAAGAGUGCAGUCUACAGACUGAAUGCCGGUGGGCGGGCCGCGGGCCCGUUUCUGAUAUAGUCGAGUCUCAUGGGCCAGUUCCAGGCAGUACCACGCAGAUACCGUCGUAGUCUUAACCAUAAACUAUGCCGACUAGGGAUCGGACGGCGUUA